This 279-nucleotide ribosomal RNA is filed under the name uncultured bacterium. Its description in RNAcentral is "partial 16S ribosomal RNA". It matches the Rfam family "Bacterial small subunit ribosomal RNA", at positions 506 to 784 of the family's 1533-position model. The record is from RNAcentral.
UGCCAGCAGCCGCGGUAAUACAGAGGGUGCGAGCGUUAAUCGGAAUUACUGGGCGUAAAGGGCGCGUAGGUGGUUUGUUUAGUUAGCUGUGAAAUACCCGGGCUUAACCUGGGGGAGUCAGUUAAAACGGGCAGACUAGAGGUAGAGAGAGGGUAGGAGAAUUUCCGGUGUAGCGGUGAAAUGCGUAGAUAUCGGAAGGAAUACCAGUGGCGAAGGCGCCUACCUGGCUCAUACCUGACACUGAGGCGCGAAAGCGUGGGGAGCGAACAGGAUUAGAUA